UACGUAGGGUCCGAGCGUUGUCCGGAAUUACUGGGCGUAAAGAGCUCGUAGGUGGUUUGUCGCGUUGUUCGUGAAAACUCACAGCUCAACUGUGGGCGUGCGGGCGAUACGGGCAGACUUGAGUACUGCAGGGGAGACUGGAAUUCCUGGUGUAGCGGUGGAAUGCGCAGAUAUCAGGAGGAACACCGGUGGCGAAGGCGGGUCUCUGGGCAGUAACUGACGCUGGGGAGCGAAAGCGUGGGGAGCGAACAGG
This 253-nucleotide ribosomal RNA is filed under the name uncultured bacterium. Its description in RNAcentral is "partial 16S ribosomal RNA". It matches the Rfam family "Bacterial small subunit ribosomal RNA", at positions 524 to 776 of the family's 1533-position model. The record is from RNAcentral.